Molecule: unclassified non-coding RNA, 796 nt
Filed under: Hevea brasiliensis (rubber tree)
Lineage: Eukaryota; Viridiplantae; Streptophyta; Magnoliopsida; Malpighiales; Euphorbiaceae
Source: RNAcentral
UAGGAUUACUUUCCUUCUUAGUUAGGAUCACAAUUGUAUAAAUAUGUUAUAAUCCUUCUUUGAGAUAUGAGAAAAUAUUUUCACAACAUGGUAUCAGAACUAUUGUGAAGGAAAUUCCUGUUUUUUUUUUUUUUUCUCUUUUCUAUUUUUCUCUAUGUUUUUGGCUACUGGAAAAUUGGGUCACCACCAAGGGUGACCAUCUUGUCUCAUCUCCCACCCCAAACGCCAGUUGGGCUGCCGACGACUAGCUCCCCGAAGGUCCCAUCACCAGUGGAGCCGCGUGUGAGCUGCACGCGCAGAGAGAAGGAUUAACGCAGUUUCACGCACCGGUGCAUCAAAGCACGUGCACCGUCCAGUUGCCGUCCUUUUCUUUUUUGAGCACUUCCAACGGCCUCUUCUUAGAUAGGGAUAAGUUACUCAGUGUGUAGCUUUUUUAUUCUUGUGCCUUUUGUGAUUUGGAGGUUUAAAACGGUAUUGUUUCUACUAUUUUUUGACAACCCCUGCGUGUUUAUGAAUCAUCUCGUAUUUGUUUUGACAUUGCUUUCUAUGAUUCGGUUUGCAUCUUGGUAGUUUUGAAGACAUUUUGGGUAAUUUGCUCCUUGAUAAAUUGGUUGUGUUAAGUUUCUUAGAAUGGCAGAUACUAAGAAUGUAGUUGCUGAUGUGAUUCCUGUGAUGACCAAAAUCUCGGAGCACAAACUUACUGGUUUCAAUUAUUUAGAGUGGAACAAGACUGUUCGUAUUUAUUUGCGAAGUAUUGAUAAGGAUGAUCACUUUACCAAAGAUCCUCCUAAUGAUG